This 447-nucleotide ribosomal RNA is filed under the name uncultured bacterium. Its description in RNAcentral is "partial 16S ribosomal RNA". It matches the Rfam family "Bacterial small subunit ribosomal RNA", at positions 29 to 523 of the family's 1533-position model. The record is from RNAcentral.
AACGAACGCUGGCGGCAGGCUUAACACAUGCAAGUCGAACGCAUCGCAAGAUGAGUGGCAGACGGGUGAGUAACGCGUGGGAACAUACCCUUUUCUACGGAAUAGCUCUGGGAAACUGGAAUUAAUACCGUAUACGCCCUACGGGGGAAAGAUUGAUCGGGGAAGGAUUGGCCCGCGUUGGAUUAGCUAGUUGGUGGGGUAAAGGCCUACCAAGGCGACGAUCCAUAGCUGGUCUGAGAGGAUGAUCAGCCACAUUGGGACGGAGACACGGCCCAACCUCCUGCGCGAGACAGCAGUGGAGACUAUGGAACUAUCGGCGCAAGCCUGAUCCGGCCAUGCCGGGUGUGUGAUGAGGGUCUUAGGGUUUCAAAGCUCUUUCGCCGAUGAAGAUAAUGACGGUAGGCGGAGAAGACGGCCCGGCUAACUUCGUGCCAGCCGCCGCCGUAA